UGGGGAAUCUUGCACAAUGGGCGCAAGCCUGAUGCAGCCAUGCCGCGUGUAUGAAGAAGGCCUUCGGGUUGUAAAGUACUUUCAGCGGGGAGGAGGGGAGUAAAGUUAAUACCUUUGCUCAUUGAUGUUACCCGCAGAAGAAGCACCGGCUAACUCCGUGCCAGCAGCCGCGGUAAUACGGAGGGUGCAAGCGUUAAUCGGAAUUACUGGGCGUAAAGCGCACGCAGGCGGUUUGGUAAGUCAGAUGUGAAAUCCCCGGGCUCAACCUGGGAACUGCAUCUGAGACUGGUCAGCUAGAGUCUUGUAGAGGGGGGUAGAAUUCCAGGUGUAGCGGUGAAAUGCGUAGAGAUCUGGAGGAAUACAGGUGGCGAAGGCGGCCCCCUGGACGAAGACUGACGAUCAGGUGCGAAAGCGUGGGGAGCAAACAGG
RNAcentral lists this ribosomal RNA (429 nucleotides) under Chloroflexota bacterium. Its description in RNAcentral is "Chloroflexi bacterium partial 16S ribosomal RNA". It matches the Rfam family "Bacterial small subunit ribosomal RNA", at positions 355 to 776 of the family's 1533-position model. Lineage: Bacteria; Bacillati; Chloroflexota. The record is from RNAcentral.